GUGGUAGACAGGGAGAGAUGGCCCAGGCGGGGCUUAAUCUUUAACCACAGUCCGCUAGCCCUGGGGCUGCACCUUUGUUUGGUUAAGCUCUGUCCUGACGUCUCCAUGGGGAGGGCGGAGUGAAUUGCUUCCUGUUGGCGGGGACAUAGCCUGGGCUCCAAGUCUGCUCGCUCCAGCUCCCUGCAGCCAAGAGCGUCUGGUCCACCGCAAGCUGGGGUGCUUAGUCGUCCUUCAGUUUAAAGGGCAAUGAACUGAAGAUGCCACUGCCCGGAGAGAGUGUGGCCUGAGGCUGAGGUGCAGGCCUCCCUGUGGCUCCGCGCAUGACCAGGUAAAGGCAGAGUAUGCCCAGCCCAGCCGCAUGUGCACUGUGACCGGACAGCUCGAUCUGGCGUGAAGGAGAAGCGCCAGCCCCGUGCCAAGCUGGAGAACCUGGAACAGGUCCUGAAGGUAGGCUGGCUCCCUGCGCUUGUGACAGGACCGCUGUGGCGUCCAGCAGGAGGAGAGGCUGUGGAUUCCAGAGCAGAAACUAGCCAGGGCCAUUCUGCAGGCUUCAUCAGCCCUCGGGGCUGCUUUUCCCCUUUUGACAGAGUAUAAAAAGCAAUAAAUAACAAAAUUCACGUUUCUGGAAGCAAAUCCCACAGAGCCAGUUAUACAUUUCCUUUCCUGUGGGUGUUAAACACAGCUGAAUGGAGGGGGCUGGCAGCGUCCAGAACAGAAAUUGAGCCAACUCCUGUUAAAGCCCAGGUUGGUGUUGGUGUUGGUUUUCCAAACCUCGUGAAUUUUAAGCUGCUCCUCGGGUGCUUGGUGACCUUGGUUAUAAAGAGAAAGGCACGGUCAGGAAUUGCUUGACCAGAUGCAGGCAAGUGGGUGUUCCUCCCAGACUCUGAAUGAGUCUUUCUCAUUUAAUGGGGGAUUGAGUCGCUGUGGACAUGGGAG
Long non-coding RNA from Fukomys damarensis (Damara mole-rat), 936 nucleotides. NCBI's taxonomy places the organism in Eukaryota, Metazoa, Chordata, Mammalia, Rodentia, Bathyergidae. The record is from Ensembl.